UGGGGAAUCUUGGACAAUGGGCGCAAGCCUGAUCCAGCCAUGCCGCGUGGAUGAUGAAGGCCUUAGGGUUGUAAAAUCCUUUCGUGGGGGACGAUAAUGACGGUACCCCAAGAAGAAGCUCCGGCUAACUUCGUGCCAGCAGCCGCGGUAAUACGAAGGGGGCUAGCGUUGUUCGGAUUUACUGGGCGUAAAGCGCGUGUAGGCGGGUCGUUAAGUUGGGGGUGAAAUCCCGAGGCUCAACCUCGGAACUGCCUUCAAAACUGGCGACCUGGACCCAAGUAGAGGCAAGUGGAAUUGCGAGUGUAGAGGUGAAAUUCGUAGAUAUUCGCAGGAACACCAGUGGCGAAGGCGACUUGCUGGACUUGUGGUGACGCUGAGACGCGAAAGCGUGGGGAGCAAACAGGAUUAGAUACCCCUGUAGUCCCUGAGCGGGCUGGCAAGGCGCAU
RNAcentral lists this ribosomal RNA (447 nucleotides) under uncultured bacterium. RNAcentral describes it as "bacterial SSU rRNA". It matches the Rfam family "Bacterial small subunit ribosomal RNA", at positions 355 to 825 of the family's 1533-position model. The record is from RNAcentral.